Molecule: ribosomal RNA, 465 nt
Filed under: uncultured bacterium
Lineage: Bacteria
Description: partial 16S ribosomal RNA
Rfam family: Bacterial small subunit ribosomal RNA
Source: RNAcentral
CCUACGGGAGGCAGCAGUAGGGAAUCUUCCACAAUGGGCGAAAGCCUGAUGGAGCAACGCCGCGUGGGUGAAGAAGGUCUUCGGAUCGUAAAACCCUGUUGUUAGAGAAGAAAGUGCGUGAGAGUAACUGUUCACGUUUCGACGGUAUCUAACCAGAAAGCCACGGCUAACUACGUGCCAGCAGCCGCGGUAAUACGGAGGGGCCGAGCGUUAUCCGGUUUUAUUGGGUUUAAAGGGAGCGCAGGUGGUAUGUUAAGUCAGAUGUUAAAGUUUUCGGCUUAACCGGAAUAGUGCAAUGGAUACUGGGAGACUUGAGUGCAGGAGAGGUAGGUGGAACUCGAGGUGUAGCGGUGAAAUGCUUAGAUAUCUCGAAGAACUCCGAUUGCGAAGGCAGCUCACUGGACUGUAACUGACGCUGAUGCUCGAAAGCGUGGGUAUCAAACAGGAUUAGAUACCCCAGUAGUC